GAUCAUGGCUCAGAUUGAACGCUGGCGGCAGGCUUAACACAUGCAAGUCGAACGGUAGCAGGAGAAAGCUUGCUUUCUUGCUGACGAGUGGCGGACGGGUGAGUAAUGCUUGGGAAUCUGGCUUAUGGAGGGGGAUAACUACGGGAAACUGUAGCUAAUACCGCGUAGUAUCGAGAGAUGAAAGUGCGGGACCGUAAGGCCGCAUGCCAUGAGAUGAGCCCAAGUGGGA
This 229-nucleotide ribosomal RNA is filed under the name uncultured bacterium. RNAcentral's name for it is "partial 16S ribosomal RNA". It matches the Rfam family "Bacterial small subunit ribosomal RNA", at positions 15 to 240 of the family's 1533-position model. The record is from RNAcentral.